UACGGAGGGUGCAAGCGUUAUCCGGAUUCACUGGGUUUAAAGGGUGCGUAGGCGGAAUUGUAAGUCCGUGGUGAAAUCUCCGAGCUUAACUCGGAAACUGCCCUGGAUACUAUAGUUCUUGAAUGUUGUGGAGGUUUGCGGAAUAUGUCAUGUAGCGGUGAAAUGCUUAGAUAUGACAUAGAACACCGAUUGCGAAGGCAGCAGGCUACACAACUAUUGACGCUGAGGCA
Molecule: ribosomal RNA, 230 nt
Filed under: uncultured microorganism
Description: partial 16S ribosomal RNA
Rfam family: Bacterial small subunit ribosomal RNA
Source: RNAcentral